CAGUUGUUCUCAGUUGAGCUUCAGUUUGAGUAGUGUGCGUUCGGUGUUCGGUGUUUCCCUCUUCCGUCCGGUGUUCGGUGUUAUCUGUAUCGGUGUGUCAUUGUUGUGUGCUAUUUUGCUAAAUUUGUUCAUUGAAAUAUCCACUCUGCGUCUGGAGUGCUCUAGUUGUGUAGAACACUGAUGAUACAGUAGUGAGUGAAGACUGUGUUUUUUGUGCUGCUGAUUUAUCGAACAAAUUCAUUCAGAGGAGACCCGCUUUAUUUGGAAACAGUUUGGAAAUUGAGUUAGAGGAGUGGCAGGAGUAAACCAACCGAUGGUAGUGAGUGGCGACUGUUGAGAGUGUUCGGUUGAUUUGGUUGGCGUCGCGACGCAAGCAGCCGCCAUUUUGUUGUGACGUGAUGAAGACGUCGCCGUCGAUCAGCCCGGCUAGCCGCGCGACCGCCAAGUUCGUGCUUGUCGAACAGCAGCAGAUCGCUGCGGCGAACCGGGGCGGCAACGACCCGCCGCUGAAGACGGCCGAUCGGCCCGUGGCCGAGCCGCCAUUCGAGACCGCCAACGCUAAGGCGGCCAGCAAGAAGGACAAGAAAGAGAAGGAGAAACUCGAGAAGGAGAGUAAGAAGAAGAGCAAGGAUAAGGAGGAGCCACACAAGACCAACGGCGUUUCCAAAACUACGUCCGGUGCGAAGAUUAUUAAUAAAGGGAAAACAUAUUGUCAAAGCUGCAAGAAAAAAUGUUCUGGAGAGGUGCUCAGAGUGCAGGACAAAUAUUUCCACAUUGCCUGUUUUAAAUGCAAAGUGUGCAAGAACUCGCUGGCACAGGGUGGGUUCUUCUGCAAGGACGGCGGCUACUUUUGCACGAAGGACUACCAGACGCUGUUUGGCACCAAGUGCGCCAUCUGCGGCGACUAUGUCGAGGGCGAAGUGGUGUCGGCGCUCGGCAACACCUACCACCAAAAGUGCUUCACCUGCGCUCGGUGCAGGCAUGCAUUCCCCAGUGGUGAACGGGUGACGUAUACAGGGAAAGAGGUUCUGUGUGGAAAGUGUGUGCAGAUUCCUGUGCGAGAAGUUCAUUCAACGCAGUCUAGUCCAGUUAGUGCUUCAGCAACUGAUUGUGCGGGAUGCCGACAGGACUUGAAAGAGGGGCAGGCGCUGAUUGCCCUGGACAGACAGUGGCACAUCUGGUGCUUCAAAUGCAAGGAGUGCGGAGCCGUGCUGCAUGGCGAAUAUAUGGGAAAGGAUGGAAUUCCGUAUUGUGAAAAAGAUUACCAGAAACUAUUUGGAGUGAAAUGCGCCUACUGUAGUCGAUACAUAUCUGGAAAGGUUUUGCAGGCUGGUGACAACCAUCAUUUCCACCCGACCUGUGCGCGCUGCACCAAGUGCGGUGAUCCAUUCGGAGAUGGUGAAGAAAUGUACUUGCAGGGUGGCGCGAUCUGGCACCCGCGGUGCGGCCCGGGACCGACGGAGAACGGCACCAUUGUGAAUGGCGGCUCUGUGAACGGACACGCCACCGACACGGAGGCCGAGGCAGAGAGCACCAAGGACGGACGCGAUUUCGAUCGCAUCAGCAGUUCGGCUGUCAGCGAGAUGCAGUUUUCACUACGUUCUCGCACUCCAAGUCUCAAUGGAUCACUUUAUAGUCCUUACAAUAGCUUGAACAGAAAGUUCGGCACGCCCUACCAGCGAGCAGGCAGCCCUGGUCUAAUUCUGCGCGAAUACAAGUCCCCGAGCAGCCACCAGUACCCGGAGGACAUCAGUCGCAUCUACACGUACAGCUACCUGACCGAGGAGCCAACCACCAGCUACCUGAAGCGACCCAUCGACCCCUACGACAAGCCGCCCACAUCGCCGCACUUCCACCGGCCUGCCUCGGCGCACUCGAUGCGCAGUGGUAGCAAAUCGUCGGGCACACUGCGCAGCCAAUCACAGCACAGCCGGUCGGGCAUGUGUGUGCUGGUGGAGAGCAUCCGCAGUGAGACGCCCCGCCCCCGCUCCCCCCACCUCAACAACGAGGAGCCAAUCGGGUUGGCGCACUUCCCCGCCGGCCAUCCCCCCCCGCCCGGCGAGAAGCCCAAGAUUGAGCGCGACGACUUCCCCGCGCCGCCAUACCCCUACACUGAUCCCGAAAGACGACGUAGAUGGUCCGACUCUUACAAGGGUGUUCCAGAUUCCGAAGACGAAGACACAGUAGACACAACUAUGAGUAAAAAGGAAAUGACAGAAAUCAAAUUAAAGAAAGAAGAGGAGGAACUGAGUAAAAUAGCGACCGGAAUCGGCAAAGUGUUUUUGCAGAAUGUUCGCGAACGCGAAAAGCUACGCGCGUGGAAAAUGAGUCACAUCGACCCGCGCAAUGCCUCACGCACCCCCUCCGCCGCUAAGGAGCCCACCUACCGUCUGCGCUACCAGUCACCUGUCAACGCAUCCCCCUCGCGGAACCUGGACGCGCCCCGGCCCUGGGAGGAAGACGACGAACUGGAUCGUAGCUCAAGCUAUCGCUCGUCGAUGGGUCGAUCAGUCGGUGCCAUUCCCAGCUAUAACGUGGUCUCGUCCCACCACAUGGUGCCCCGCCCUGGCUAUGGACUGAAGAGCUCGACACUGCCUGUCUCGGCUCGCUAUGACUCGGGUGAUUUUUCAUUUAGUGGAUUAGGAGAGAAAACUCACAGUACUGAUUUCAGUAGCGGAAAAUCAGAUAUCUGGUGAGAUGCACAGUUCUUCGACGUACACCGGCUGCUUAGGCUACCCUCCCUCCGCGUCCCCCCACAUCCGCCGCUCCCUGCCCAACAUGAUGGCCCCCGCCUCCAACGAACCCCCCAAAAUCUACCCCUAUCACCUGCUGCAAAUAUCCAACUACAGGCUGCCGGCCGAUGUUGACAGAUGUAAUCUUGAGCGACAUCUAUCUGAAGCGGAGUUCGAAACUCUGUUCCACUGCAGCCGGAUGGACUUCUACCGCAUGCCACAGUGGAGACGAAACGAACUCAAACGACGCGCCAGGUUAUUCUAAGCCAUUGCUUUGCCUCUCCACUUCAACGUCUUCAGCAUCACAAUAUUCACGUCGUUCGUUCCGGCUUACUGUGGCAUACCCUUAUAACAAACGUUUGCCAUAAUAUUGUAUCAAUAUCUUCCAUUAAAUAGAAUAUUGUAAUUUAAAGAUUAAUAGAUUAUCAUAUAUGAAGAACUGUAAAAGAAAAAUCAUAUAUUAUGUAGAAGAAUAAAUUAUUAAUCAAAUGAUGAUGUAAAAUUUGCUACAAAACUAUAUUUGAUAGACUUAUAAUAUUCAACCAAUUGCGGCAGCUAAGAUACCCUAGUUUUCAAAUUAUAUGAUGCAGCUGAUUUUUCAGUAUUGUUUAACAUAAAAGUUUAGUGGAUAUUGGUUUAUUUAAUCCUACUUUGUAGCUGCAGGAUAAUUUCUUUACUUGCAUUCUUCAACUACUUUAGCAGCCUAAAUUAAUAGCAAUUCAGUUGUGUAUUUUCUGAACAUAUCGAUUUGAAUAUAUUAUUUUUGAAAUAUUAAUUGAUAUUGAAUUGAAUGUUUUAUUCGGCAGGAUUAAUUUUCCACCGUAGGUAACCAAAUUCCUAGCAAUUGGAUUUUUAUUACUUGAUUUAAUUGUAUAAUUAUAAAGUUUUGAAUGUUGAUGUAAUUUGUAGUGAGCUGUGAAAAACUUAUUAUAUCAACAUGCUUUUAAAUGUUCUAAAAUCUGAAUUUAUUCCAAUUUCUACAAUUUUAAUAGGGAAAUGGAGACUAUAGUAGUUUCGAAUAACUUGGAUUGUUAUCAAUACUUCCUCUGGUAUUGCUCAGAAAAUAUUUAUAACAGUAGCCUAGCUAACUUUGUUAAUUAUAAAAGUCUAAACUUCUUUCUAUAACAGAUGAAUUUCAUCUACUUACAAUCGUGUCAUAUUUUAAUUCACAUUCUCAUGAAAAAUUAAAAAUUGAUUUAUUGUCUUUGAAAUCUACUGAACUACUUGUCUGAUAAGUUGUUAAUGAAGACUUCAUAAUUAUAGACUGAUUCUCAUUUAUUCAGAGAUGAACUAGAUCAAUUGAUAACUAAAAACUCUUGUCAUUUGACACGUAUAUUUUCCUGUUGAAGUUUAUAGUAAAAUGUAAUAAGAAAAAUUACAAUUUAGACAUAGAAUCUGAAACAAUAAGGUCACCAAGUUAUAUUUUAUUAAAUGAAUUUCUCAUACGAAAAUAAAUCAAUUUCUUAGAAUUAGAGAAUCACCCUCUCAUAAUUUGGUUUCUAGAAUUGAAUUGAAAUGUAAUUGAAAAUGGUGCUAACAUUAAGUGGGAUUGGAAAGUCUCAUUUAAACUUUGAAUGUUCGUCAUUGUCAUCUUUUAAAUAUUUUUAUUUCUAGAGAUCAAUCGAACUAUUUGACAUGUCGAUCCUUUCAAAUAAUAAUACCUACCAUAAGAGAUCCAUGAAUCUUGGAAUUUGUUGAGAAUUCUUUACUACAUAUAUGAUUUCAAAAUCUGUCAGUUUCAAAGCAUUGUCUAUGAAAGACAAAACGUCUGCAAAACAUUUUCUAAAUUAUUAAUUCAUUUAUUUAGACUGACGAGUUUCAAGCAGUUCUUCCACUGCCAUAUUUACUGAUAAAAUUUUAUGUACUACAAUUCCAGCUCGUUAAAAAUUCAUUAAUAAAGUUGGAACUGGCAAGGCUUUGUACAAUUUUCUAAUGUUACAUUGUAAUCGGAAUGGAGUAUAUAAACAGUAGGCUACUUCAUCCUCUCUGCUUUGGAGCGUUGCUAUAAUAAUUUAUUAUGAAUAUUCAACUGUAAAUAUUAUUUCAAUAUGAAUAAAUCGUUAAUGAUUAGUUUGAUUGUAUUAUUAUUAAGUAAUAACAUUGUAGUAUUGUAAUAUAAUUUACUUUAGGGCACAUUAUUGAAGCAUUUAAUUCGUCGAGCUGUGUAAUAUCGUUUCAAAUUAGCUUUGGCGGCUUGUAUAAACUUAGUAUAGUUGACUCAAUAUUUUUAUUAUUUGCUAAUAAAUUAUCAUACGAUAAUUUGUUGAAAAAAUGUUGCUUUCUAUCUCUUUGGUCUUUAACUUUGGUAGCUAUUUUACAACUCGGUUCUCCUGGGAACAACGUGAUAAUAUCCUACGAUGAGUUAUUUUAUUGCUAAGUUAUUAAAAUUGUGGAAUAAUUACAAUGAAAACAGUAGAAUGAGUGACCUCAAAUUGGUAAGGAAAACUCAAUUUGAUCCUAUUUUUGUUUGAUAUCUUUUGAGUAAGUAAUAUUGUGAAAUAUUAAGUUUGAUUAUGACUUCAUUUUAGUUUCCUUAAAACUGCAGCUAUAUUUACGUUACAACCAGAUUAUUUUAUCAUCCCACAUAUUAUUAGAGUAUAUUGCCUCUAUGUAUAAUAUUGACGGCAAUUCAUAGCUAUUCAAAUUUAAUCCUUAUAUUUUAACAAGAGAUAAUCUCUAAAUCAUUCAAGUUAUUAAUAAUUUUGCGAUUUUUAAUUUUAUUGAAUAAUCUAACAAUGAUUUUAAUUUUAUUAGCCUAUCAGUUGGUUGGAUUUCAAUAUUGGUAGCUUAUUAUUUUUUAUAUACUGGUAACUGUAUGAUUCAGUGGUAACUAAUUGUAAGUUCUUCUCAAGAAAUUGAAUGUUAGCUCAAGUAUUAUGUUUCAUAUUAUAUCUACAGAAAUUAUUCUCAAUUUUGUAACAUUUAUUUUCUAUCAUACGGAAUAUAAUAAUGAUGAACUUUUUUGUGUAAUUAAUUACUCUACCAAAAUAGUCAUGGAGCAGCUUCAGACUUAAUUUGCUAAAAUUAUUUCAUUGUCAUUUAAUACUUCAAUACUUACAAUAUUCUGCUUUUGUAUAUUCACGAUAAAAUUUUGAAAUAUACUGUAUAUAAUGUAUUAUCCUACUCUGAAAAUUGUCUCCAUAUGCAAAAUAUUAAAGUAAUCUGCACAAACUG
Molecule: unclassified non-coding RNA, 5906 nt
Filed under: Nilaparvata lugens (brown planthopper)
Lineage: Eukaryota; Metazoa; Arthropoda; Insecta; Hemiptera; Delphacidae
Description: actin-binding LIM protein 3, transcript variant X1
Source: RNAcentral